ACAACUCCCAGCUGCUAGGAGAGGUGGUCCACAACAUCUGAGGUGGAUCUUCCAUACCUUCAGAGCCAAUGAGAUAUCAGCAUAUGCACAAAACCCUCCACCUUUAUCACUUGAGCAGUGAUGAAAGCCACCACCUGGAAAAAGAAACGAAAGUAGCUUCUUGGGAGAAAAGCGAUGACAAGCCUAGACAGCAUCUUAAAAAGCAAAGACAUCACCUUGCCAACAAAGGACAUGGAGGUAAAGGAUCCCUGGAUGGAGGAUAAGGGAAUGGCCAAGACGCAAAUCUUGCUGCUAGCUCCAUAGCAAAAGCAAAGUCAAACUGCUAUUAUCUGGCUAUUGACAGCGAUUCCUAAACUCAAAAUCAAAUCCAGACACAAACACGCAUAGCUGUCAACUUUCAGAUUUGAAAAUAAGGGAUCAGCAGCCUCGAAAAUAAGGGAUCAGCAGCCUCACCUGUCCUGGGGACAGUCUACGGGAUAUCUAACAAUCCAGAAUAGCAGUGGGAACCAGCGGGAAACGGCACUGGAAUAAGGGAAUUUCCCACAAAGAAAGGGAAGGUUGACAGCUAUGACAAACACACCCCAGUAAAGGACAAGCAUCAAGAAAUUAAAAGCCCACUGUCAGUCCCCCAACUUGUCAUAGGGAGAAUAUCAGCAGUCCUAAAAUCACAUCCAUGAAAUGCGGAACUUUACUCUUCAUUAGGAAGAAACAAAUGCAGCUCUUGGGGGGGAAAACUUUCAAAACAAGGAGCUAUCAGAAGUCAGCAUAAUUUGCACACAGGCCAGUGCAAAUGUAAUACUGCCUUAUCUCCUUCUCAAACUUAAGCAAUGGCUACACACAAUUCUCCUUUUGCAUGAACUUCACCCUUUAUUUCAUUUUCUGAAUGAACCAGGGUUAGCAUUGCAUCUACAGAAGCAUUUUCUCUAAAGGUGGUUAAAUCUAAACCAGAGUUUGCAAUACAAUCAAAAGUGGAGUUGCACAGUCCUUAGGCUAAGGACUAUUAGUAAAAAAAACAAAAAACCUGGGGCAUGCAUAACUCUUAUUACCAUUCACAGGUCCAAAAAUGGAAGGAAGGAAGGAAGGAAGGAAGGAAGGAAGGAAGGAAGGAAGGAAGGAGUGAAAAGGAUGUCUUAACUAUGGUCUGCACUGAGCCCAAGUGUUAAAUAAAUGCAAAUUUAGCAGACUGGAUUUCCGCUGUCUGGAACUAAGAUAGUAGAAAGGCAUAAAAAUUACAGUGUAGAAACUGUUAAAAUGUGAGCAUAAACUGCACAUCUCUUUAGGGUUUUUAAUCAUCUUUUCUCAUCACUGAGAUUUAAAAACAUG
Podarcis raffonei (Aeolian wall lizard) is the source of this 1323-nucleotide long non-coding RNA. RefSeq lists it as uncharacterized. Lineage: Eukaryota; Metazoa; Chordata; Lepidosauria; Squamata; Lacertidae. The record is from RefSeq and is a predicted model, not a curated record. The transcript is spliced from 4 exons.